Molecule: ribosomal RNA, 32 nt
Filed under: Frankliniella intonsa
Lineage: Eukaryota; Metazoa; Arthropoda; Insecta; Thysanoptera; Thripidae
Description: partial 28S ribosomal RNA
Source: RNAcentral
GACCUCAGUUCAGGGGAGAUUACCGGCUGAAU